RNAcentral lists this small RNA (516 nucleotides) under Pan troglodytes (chimpanzee). RNAcentral's name for it is "retained intron". Lineage: Eukaryota; Metazoa; Chordata; Mammalia; Primates; Hominidae. The record is from RNAcentral.
UGGGAUUUUAUGGAGGAGGAAUCCUGGAAAGGCCUCAGCCUAACCCACACGUUGGAGGUGUCCUGGAGCCGUCUGCCUUUAAGCCCAUGCAAGGUCGUUUUCUCUGCCUCAACAAGGGUCUGUACCCAUUAUAUUCCCAUCUGCUUUCAAAAUCUAACUGGAGGUUUUUUCUUGACACUGUAGGGGUUCAUUAGACCAGUCAUUAAAGGAUACACUGAAGAAAUUUUCCAUCGAGAAACGCUUUGCCUACUGGUCAGGGUAUGUCAAGUCAUUGGCAGUUCACGUGGCCGAAACAGAAGGCAGCAGCUGCACCUCCUUGUUAGAGUACCAGAUGCUGGUGUCCGCCUGGAGGAUGCUUCUCAUCAUUGCCACCACUCAUGCAGAUAUAAUGCACCUGACUGACUCUGUGGUGCGUCGCCAGCUCUUUCUUGACGUGCUUGAUGGAACCAAAGCGUUACUCCUAGUUCCAGCCUCAGUGAAUUGCCUUCGCCUCGGCUCCAUGAAGUGCACUCUGCU